This is a long non-coding RNA of Erigeron canadensis, 1914 nucleotides long. RefSeq lists it as uncharacterized. The transcript has 4 exons. The record is from RefSeq and is a predicted model, not a curated record. NCBI's taxonomy places the organism in Eukaryota, Viridiplantae, Streptophyta, Magnoliopsida, Asterales, Asteraceae.
AUAACUAAAUAGACUUUGGUGAGAAAUCUGUUGCAAUUCGGGAAACCAUUGCGAGCGGUGUACUGCAUACGUGACUAGUCAGCAGUGCUGCCGAUAGAAUAAUCAUGAAAGCUGGACCAUAAUGUUUCAAAGGAGUUGAUUUUAGUGGUUGGAAGACGUACUCUGGCAGAAGUGGGGCAUCUAGGUGUAGUUUAUAAUAAUGAUAGCAACAACGAGAGUGAGAUCUGAUGGCGGCGGGGGACAUUAUUGGGAGUAUUGAAGGACUUGUACAUAUAACUUUUGUGGCUCUUAUAGUCUUACAUUAUGAGCUUUGUCAUCGAUGCUUUCCAAGCCCUUCUCUGCGAUCCAAAGAGUUGAAAUAUGGCUUAGCUGGUGGAACUGGAUUCUUGUUUGUGAGUGCACACUAACAUAAACUAUCUUAUGAAAUUGAGAUCUUCACGACCCUUACCACUAGGUUAACUUGGAGGCAAUUACAUAAAACGCUCCAGGUGCUUGAUGGAGUAUCUAAGUUGGUCACCUGAUUUAGUAAUUAUGUCUAAUGACCCACACACCCUUAUCAAAGUGAUAUGGACCUGAAUGUUUAUUCAUUCUUAUCUUAGUGUCAACUUGAGGCAAAGUGUAAGGCUCAUUGGGUGUACCGAAUUUUGGCCCAUGAAGUGUUAGAGUGUCAUUGCCACCUCUAGUAUUGUAUGAUGAUUUACACAUUCAGUACGAUCGUAUUGAUUGAUUUUGUUAACCCUCUAAGGUGUCUUGAAAAAUGCUUGGCGAUUGCUUGUUUAAAAACAACCGACUUAUCUAAUUGUAGUUACACAAACUGAUCGAAAGUGCCUUAACCAACCAAAUAGAGGGGACCAUACUUGGUUCAUAUCUAAGAUAUAAGAUCUUGGGUCUUUACACUGGGUCCUACAAGUUAUCUGCCUACAAGGCGUGGUGACUAAGUGUUAUUCAGUCUUAAUUUUUUUGGGUCGAUCAGUGAGCCUGCAACAGUAUGCCUACAUUUUCGCAAGUGAUCUCACAACUUGACCAAUAUCCUUGUAUGAUCACAGUCCCGGAUACAUGUUUUAAUUUGAAGGGCUAAUGCAUGACUGAUGGUUGGUUUAAAGGCUUGGUGUCUGGCUGGUAGCUUAUGUAUACAUUUGUUGCUAUGUAGAUCGCUGGUUCAAAGGACCAAGUCUAGUCAAAUAGCUUAUUGGUGUCUAACAUGCCUUUAUGGAACGACAUACCAUCCGUGCAUGGGUUGUAUCCAAGUUAAAGAUUUUGAUCAAUAGAUCAAGUCUGAUACUGGUCAAAAUUUCCUAGAAUUGAACUUGGGGAAUUAAACAUGGUGUGUACCACGUUUGGUCUAUAUGCGAUCCUGGAUGAUGGAAAAAUGAAUAUAGUUCCAUUCCUUCCCUUUGUACCCAAAAGAAGUAUAUUGUGUUUUGCUUUGCACAAACAUUAAGCAAUCUGUACAUUGUCAAACAAUAUGGACUUUACAACACCACAUUCAAGAAAGUCGAGCCUGCAAUGUAGUGGGAAUGACAAUCUUGUCAAAUAAGAACUUGUGCAGGGUAUUUACAAGGACUAAAGGUGUCAAAAAGGAAGUUAAAAGGUUGUUAUGCACUUUAGGAGGCAAUUGAAGAAAGUUAGGAAGAUGAAGGGUGUAAAGUGAAACUUGAAGAUUAAAGGCAUAUAUAAACCCGUUUUAGGAUUUGGUGGCUACAGUUGUUACACACACAUAUGUUUAUCUCUAUUAUUUUCUCUCGGUUGAUUUAGGGUUCUUGUUGAUCUUAUGAUCAUUCUGAUCAUUUGAUUGUUUGAGUUAUUAUUCUGUAAUUGUUAUCUAAACAUAUUGUUUAGAUACUCCUUCUAUACUCUUAAAUUUGUACUCUGAAUAAUAAUCAAUAAUAAUAAUAACAGCCGAUUGAUUCGUUA